UAGGGAAUCUUCGGCAAUGGGGGCAACCCUGACCGAGCAACGCCGCGGGAGUGAAGAAGGUUUUCGGAUCGUAAAGCUCUGUUGUAAGUCAAGAACGGGUGUGAGAGUGGAAAGUUCACACUGUGACGGUAGCUUACCAGAAAGGGACGGCUAACUACGUGCCAGCAGCCGCGGUAAUACGUAGGUCCCGAGCGUUGUCCGGAUUUAUUGGGCGUAAAGCGAGCGCAGGCGGUUUGAUAAGUCUGAAGUUAAAGGCUGUGGCUCAACCAUAGGUCGCUUUGGAAACUGUCAAACUUGAGUGCAGAAGGGGAGAGUGGAAUUCCAUUUGUAGCGGUGAAAUGCGUAGAUAUAUGGAGGAACACCGGUGGCGAAAGCGGCUCUCUGGUCUGUAACUGACGCUGAGGCUCGAAAGCGUGGGGAGCGAACAGG
RNAcentral lists this ribosomal RNA (429 nucleotides) under Bacillota bacterium. RNAcentral's name for it is "Firmicutes bacterium partial 16S ribosomal RNA". It matches the Rfam family "Bacterial small subunit ribosomal RNA", at positions 355 to 776 of the family's 1533-position model. The record is from RNAcentral. Lineage: Bacteria; Bacillati; Bacillota.